Populus euphratica (Euphrates poplar) is the source of this 1521-nucleotide long non-coding RNA. RefSeq lists it as uncharacterized. The transcript is spliced from 2 exons. NCBI's taxonomy places the organism in Eukaryota, Viridiplantae, Streptophyta, Magnoliopsida, Malpighiales, Salicaceae. The record is from RefSeq and is a predicted model, not a curated record.
UCUAUUGAUCAAAAGUUUAACUUUGUGGUUUUGUUAUUGUUGUGGAAAGUUGAGCUGAUUGUUAGUAUAAUUGAUCUAUUAAAUGAGACUCAUCAUAUGGUAGGUCUUUUCCUGUUAUUUACAUGGCUAAAUAUCACAUGUUAUUUCAAGGGAUACAACUUGCAAUUGUACUUUACUAGUUGUUAGUUUCUUGUGUUACAUGUAAUAUUGGAGUUAUAAAAUAUCAAGAUAUACCGUAUGAUGGGUCUCAUUUAGUAGAUCAAGUGCACUAAAUCAACUUGAUUUGAAGUUUGCGGGGUUGGAUUUUCAAUUUUUUUGAGAAUCUUAAAUGAUAGAAAAUUUUUCUUUCAUGCUUUUUUAUUCUGGAUUGGCACCAUCUGUGAUUCCAAACUGGCAUGGCAUGGAAAUUACAGCUAUAUUGGUAGUAAUUUUUUUGAAAGCUAAAAUUGCUGAAAAGAACUUGUCUAAUUUUAACAUAAUUCUAAUGAUACCAUAGCACUGUUUUUUCAGCAAUAUUUCAUCUUGAUUUUUUACUUAAAAGUAGUACAAUGAUGAUUUCCUAAGAAAGGCACGCAAUGAGUGUUGCAUGUCAUAUUUGCUACACGUCAAAAACUGCAAUUGCAUUCCAAAAGCAUGUUUGUCAUGGCAAAUAUCAUUUUAUCCACUCAAAGCCUAAAUUCCACAAACUUCUGCAUUUGAUGUCCGGCUUCUCGUUAUCACACACAAACAUCUGUGGGUUUAGGUUUGGGUCCAUGGAAAUAGACCAAGCCUUAUGCAUUGCACUAUUAUUGGUUACGCCAAUGCUAUGGACUAACAACCAUUGCACUAUUGUUGAUAGGUGAUGGCAAUCGUUAUUUGUGGCAUUGAUAUCUAUUCUGCUUUAGGUGAUUGCACCAAACAUAGACUGAACAAAAGGGACAUACAGUGGUGGAGAAAUUGGUUCCAGUUACUUUUGAUACAUGUAACCAGUGUUGUAUAUUGCUCGCUUUUCAACUCGGUUUUGGUAUUGUGUUUUGUAAUUAUCACUUACUGCUGGUGUUUUGAAUUAACUAAUCAUUUUUUUCCCUCGAACUUCCCAUAUGUUUUUGUUGGAAGCUAGAAUAAACUACCAUUUGUAUGGCAUUCUGCAAAAAAAAAAACCCCUCAUUUUGCGUAACUGUUCCUAUGUCUUUUGAUUAUUGAUGUAUGCUUAACAGUUUUAAUAACUUAGAAGAGCAUAGAGAAAGUUUUAUGAGGAUUCCAUGGGAGGCUACUGGUUUUUGGUCCUCAUGAGAAGAGCAUCAUGCAACUUCUAACUGAGCAUUGAAUGUCGUAAAGAGAAAGAUUGGCAGUCAUUGCAGACCCAAGAGAGUGCUUUUUUUAUCUGUUUUUUCACAAGAUAAGGUAAUUGGCUGUCGUGUGAUUUUUAUAUGGCUUGCGUGUUUUGACUUUUAGCAUUGCCUUUGUUUGCGCUGUUAAAAUGAAGCUGGAAAGGAAAAUAUUGUAAAUCUUGCCUCUUUUACUUUCUUCUAAGUUCCUGUU